This 253-nucleotide ribosomal RNA is filed under the name uncultured bacterium. RNAcentral describes it as "partial 16S ribosomal RNA". It matches the Rfam family "Bacterial small subunit ribosomal RNA", at positions 524 to 776 of the family's 1533-position model. The record is from RNAcentral.
UACGAAGGGGGCGAGCGUUGUUCGGAUUUACUGGGCGUAAAGGGCGCGCAGGCGGCUCAUUUUGUCAGGCGUGAAAUCCCCGGGCUCAACCUGGGAACUGCAUCCGAAACUGCCUUGCUAGAGUAUGGGAGAGGGAAGUGGAAUUUCCGGUGUAGCGGUGAAAUGCGUAGAUAUCGGAAGGAACAUCAGUGGCGAAGGCGACUUCCUGGACCAAUACUGACGCUCAGGUGCGAAAGCGUGGGGAGCAAACAGG